This 1269-nucleotide ribosomal RNA is filed under the name Triticum aestivum (bread wheat). RNAcentral's name for it is "partial small subunit ribosomal RNA". Lineage: Eukaryota; Viridiplantae; Streptophyta; Magnoliopsida; Poales; Poaceae. The record is from RNAcentral.
AUGAAAGCAAAUAGCAAGUUAGCGACACCAGAUGACUAUGAUCGGGUGAUAUCCGCAGAGAUACCUGACAAAGAGAAACACCCCGUCCUACAUGAGCUGGUCGUCAAACACAUGCUGCACGGACCCUGUGGUGAAUUGAAAAAAAGUUGUCCUUGCAUGAUUGAUGGACAGUGUAGGUUUCAUUAUCCGCGAGAUUUUUGUGAUGCCACACAACAAGGUAAAGACUCUUAUCCCAUCUAUCAGAGGAGGGACGAUGGGCGUGGAGUUAGGAUCAGAGGAGCAAAUUUGGACAAUAGAUGGGUGGUCCCUUACAACCCUUCUCUGCUUAUGCAAUACAACUGCCACAUUAAUGUGGAAGCAUGCUCGAGCAUCAAGGCAGUCAAGUAUUUGUUCAAGUACAUCUAUAAAGGCCAUGAUCGGGCGUCCUUUGCAUUCGAGCAGGACAUCAUCAAUGAUGGUGGAAUCAUCAAUGAAAUCAGGCAAUACAGGGAUGCACGCUAUGUAUAUCCUCCGGAGGCUAUUUACAGGAUUUUUGGUUUCAAAAUGUUUGAUGUCAGUCCAUCAGUGCUACAGCUCCAGCUUCAUUUGCCGAACAUGCAUACAAUUGCAUUUAAAGCUGGUGAAAAUCUAGAAGAUGUUGUUGCUCGAGCAUCUUCAUCCAGGUCCAUGCUUACCGAGUACUUUGAGAUGAACCGGAGAAAUCCGCAAGCACGGAAAUUGUUGUACAGAGAGUUUCCAGAGCAUUAUAGAUGGAUAGCUGGAAAAAAGAAGUGGCAGAAGAGAAGAAAUAACAGAUCACAUAUUGGAAGACUUGUCUAUGCACACCCUGCUGAAGGAGAGAGGUACUACUUGCGUGUACUUCUAAGUCAUCUCCGAGGUGCCACUUCAUUUGAUGAUUUAAAAACAGUAAAUGGCAACCUAUGCACUUCCUUCAGAGAGACAUGUGAGCACCUAGGCCUCAUUGAGCACGACAAGACUCUUGAUGAUUGCAUGACAGAGGUAGCCACAUUUCAGAUGCCUUGUACCCUAAGACGGUUGUUUGCGACUAUAUUAGUAUUUUGCGAGGCAACAGAAAUCCCACAAUUGUGGGAUAAACAUCUACCAUCAAUGUGUGAGGACUACCGCCGUAAUGAAUCCAACGAAUCAGUACUUGAGCAGAUGGAGAUAUUAGGGAUAUGUUGCAAUCCAUGGGAAAGGAUAUUAAGAGCUAUGGACUUCCGGAUCUGGUUGAGACCGAUGGUUCUUAUGACAGUGAGUACAGAGAGGUAA